Molecule: RNase P RNA, 297 nt
Filed under: chicken gut metagenome
Description: Bacterial RNase P class A
Rfam family: Bacterial RNase P class A
About the family: Ribonuclease P (RNase P) is a ubiquitous endoribonuclease, found in archaea, bacteria and eukarya as well as chloroplasts and mitochondria. Its best characterised activity is the generation of mature 5'-ends of tRNAs by cleaving the 5'-leader elements of precursor-tRNAs. Cellular RNase Ps are ribonucleoproteins.
Source: RNAcentral
CAGGUUAGAGGAAAGUCCGGGCACCAUAGGACAUGACGCUGGCUAACGGCCAGGAGCAGUAAUGCUACAGAAAGUGCAGCAGAGAGAAGACCGCCGUUCUACGGUAAGGGUGAAAGGGUGGUGUAAGAGACCACCGCGGGACUGGUGACAGUUCCCGGCAUGGCAAACCUCGUCAGGUGCAAGGCCAAGCAGCAACUGGGUUGUCCGCCUAUAGUUGCGGGUAGGCUGCUAGAGGCUAUGAGUAAUCAUAGUCCGAGAUAGAUGAUUACAUAAACAGAACUCGGCUUAUCGAAGGCC